UCUCUUUUCAAGGAACAUUCUCAUCUUACACAUUUCCGCUUCUUUCGCUAUAUAUUUGUUUUCGUACUUCUUCUUCUACUUCGUACUUCCUACAGUGAAUUGCUGACUAUUACAUGAAGGCCGAUAUAGGCAGAUAUGGACACUGUCGAGUCCGUUUCCUGGGCAGAACCAGUACUUGGUUUCUAUGGAGGAAAUAAUGAGAAUGCUCCUCGAGUAGAGAGCGAACCCACGAACUCCCGAUCGCUAGGCGGACACCUCAUCCACUACACCACCGCGAUAGUAUAUACGGAUGCCUACUGUUUAUUUAUUUUUGGCAUAGAAUUUACUUUAUUACCCAGUGUACAUAGCUUUAGAAUUAAUUUUCAAUUGUAAACACAAACCUGAAAACUAUCACUCAAUUUCAGAGUGAACAGCAUUUGAUUGUGUAGCCCCAAGAUAGACAAAGUUAUCAAGAAAUGGACGGACGUUAAGACGCACAACAACAACCAUGGGUGAAUGAUGAGAUCUCAUCCAUCACAUCAGUUGAACAAAAGUUGGAAAUCCGCGAAACAGCGCAUGUGAGGCCCAGUCAUUUGAGCAAAUAGUGUUCCACUUUAUUGUUCCCUAGCUGUAGAGUUGUUGGAGAAAACCUGUAUUGUUAUGUUAAAAGGAUAAUUAAAUAAAGGAGUAGAAUUUA
Long non-coding RNA from Dreissena polymorpha, 676 nucleotides. RefSeq lists it as uncharacterized. Lineage: Eukaryota; Metazoa; Mollusca; Bivalvia; Myida; Dreissenidae. The transcript is spliced from 4 exons. The record is from RefSeq and is a predicted model, not a curated record.